GGACAACUUGUCUCACCGUGAAUGCAUUGCUCUGUAGGUGUUCACCAUGACCGAACAGAAUGUCGGCAAACCAUCUCCUACUGUAAAUUAUAGACCUUGAAUUGCUGUGGUAUGCAUUCAUCAUCAAGAGUACGGCCAAGGAGUUCUUCCUUUAAAGAUGACUUUUUGAAUCAGCGCUAAGAGCAUUUCUUUAGGAGCAGAGCAGAGAGGCAUCAUAGCAUGGAACAAUGAUUUACCAAUUUGCAGAAUUCACACAAAAGAAUUCUAUAAACCUGAAGAGUAAGCUUUAAAAAAAAUCGUCAGAGGAAAGGAAUUUGUAGAAAUAAAACUGGAAACAUCGAGAAUCUUGAUGGUGUGCCAAACCAGAUGUCAACUGGAGCUCGACCAAAACCUAAACAGCCUUUUCUUUGGCUUUCACGACAAACGUAAUUGUGAGGAAAUCUAUUCUCUUCUGUUUCUCCACAUUCCUCACCAGGUGCUCUCUGGCAAACGAAGUAAAGAGAGAGCAGAUUCCAUAUAG
Molecule: long non-coding RNA, 520 nt
Filed under: Felis catus (domestic cat)
Lineage: Eukaryota; Metazoa; Chordata; Mammalia; Carnivora; Felidae
Description: lncRNA (ENSFCAG00000043927.2)
Source: RNAcentral